RNAcentral lists this ribosomal RNA (407 nucleotides) under uncultured bacterium. Its description in RNAcentral is "bacterial SSU rRNA". It matches the Rfam family "Bacterial small subunit ribosomal RNA", at positions 8 to 411 of the family's 1533-position model. The record is from RNAcentral.
AGAGUUUGAUCCUGGCUCAGAUUGAACGCUGGCGGCAGGCUUAACACAUGCAAGUCGAGCGGUAGCACAAGGGAGCUUGCUCCCUGGGUGACGAGCGGCGGACGGGUGAGUAAUGUCUGGGAAACUGCCUGAUGGAGGGGGAUAACUACUGGAAACGGUAGCUAAUACCGCAUAACGUCGCAAGACCAAAGAGGGGGACCUUCGGGCCUCUUGCCAUCAGAUGUGCCCAGAUGGGAUUAGCUAGUAGGUGGGGUAAUGGCUCACCUAGGCGACGAUCCCUAGCUGGUCUGAGAGGAUGACCAGCCACACUGGAACUGAGACACGGUCCAGACUCCUACGGGAGGCAGCAGUGGGGAAUAUUGCACAAUGGGCGCAAGCCUGAUGCAGCCAUGCCGCGUGUGUGAAGA